GACGAACGCUGGCGGCGUGCCUAAUACAUGCCAGUAGAACGCUGAAGGAGGAGCUUGCUUCUCUGGAUGAGUUGCGAACGGGUGAGUAACGCGUAGGUAACCUGCCUGGUAGCGGGGGAUAACUAUUGGAAACGAUAGCUAAUACCGCAUAAUAGCAGUUGUUGCAUGACAACUGUUUGAAAGGUGCAAUUGCACCACUACCAGAUGGACCUGCGUUGUAUUAGCUAGUUGGUGGGGUAACGGCUCACCAAGGCGACGAUACAUAGCCGACCUGAGAGGGUGAUCGGCCACACUGGGACUGAGACACGGCCCAGACUCCUACGGGAGGCAGCAGUAGGGAAUCUUCGGCAAUGGACGGAAGUCUGACCGAGCAACGCCGCGUGAGUGAAGAAGGUUUUCGGAUCGUAAAGCUCUGUUGUAAGAGAAGAACGAGUGUGAGAGUGGAAAGUUCACACUGUGACGGUAUCUUACCAGAAAGGGACGGCUAACUACGUG
RNAcentral lists this ribosomal RNA (495 nucleotides) under uncultured bacterium. RNAcentral's name for it is "partial 16S ribosomal RNA". It matches the Rfam family "Bacterial small subunit ribosomal RNA", at positions 28 to 507 of the family's 1533-position model. The record is from RNAcentral.